UGUGUGUGUUGCAGGGGCUAGAGAGAGACACUGCGCGUGCACACACAGAUGGGGACACACGCAGGACAGACGCAGUAAGACGGGCACACACACUUGGAUCCAGAGGCGGACACACACACACACACACUUCCCCACCCCAGCUCCGGAUUCGCCGUUCACACAGAAGCGGCCUCACCCCCCGACACUUCAUUUCCCCCCAGAAGUCAAAUCGGUGACAGUGGUUCACUGUGUUUCCCUCACAGGUUACAGAAAUGCGGGGAUCUCUGUGGCUGUGUCUCUGCGCGCUGCCGCUGUUCCCAGGUUCGGUGGCGGGGAACUCGCUGACCCAGAACCCGGCUUCCCUGCCAGCCACGGAAGGGCAGCGGGUGGAGAUCAGGUGUCAAUACAGCACCUCCUAUACCAGCUACGCCCUGGACUGGUAUCAGGAGCUGCCGGGGAAGCAGCCCCGCUUCCUAAUCGGGAGGUAUUCCUACGGCUCGGAUCGCAAAUCCGAUUCUCUGGCACCUCGGUUCUCCUCGCGGCUGGACACGAGAGCGAAGACUUUCAAGCUAACCAUAGAGGGGGCGCAGCGGGCUGACUCGGCGGUGUAUUUCUGUGCUCUCUGGGAUAGCACAGUGCUGCAGAGCGCACCGGGAUCCGGACACAAACUGCCGCGGGAGGCGGAGGAGCAGGUGUCUGAAAGGCGGUUCAGUGUCAUUCCAGCUCUCAGCCCAAGUAGGCAUUUUGAGAGACACACUUCAGCCCUCCUGGAAACGCAGUUUUGGAGGACGCAGGCUCCACGAAGGAGAUGAGAUGCGUUGCAGUCUAAGUAGCUACGACACACGGAAGAAGAAACACGACCUGAAUUUUAGAGAUGGGCAGCUGAGGUGCAGACGCGGGAAGUGACUUGCCCUAGGUGACACAGUGAGAGGGCAGGGCCAAGGAACUGGGU
Chelonoidis abingdonii (Abingdon island giant tortoise) is the source of this 931-nucleotide non-coding RNA. NCBI's taxonomy places the organism in Eukaryota, Metazoa, Chordata, Testudines, Testudinidae. The record is from the annotation of a RefSeq genome assembly.